AUACGGAGGGUGCGAGCGUUAUCCGGAUUUAUUAGGUUUAAAGGGUGUGUAGGCGGGAGCCUAAGUCAGUGGUGAAAUCUCACAGCUUAACUGUGAAACUGCCAUUGAAACUGGGUUUCUUGAGUAUAGUUGAGGUAGGCGGAAUGUGUAAUGUAGCGGUGAAAUGCAUAGAUAUUACACAGAACACCGAUUGCGAAGGCAGCUUACUAAGCUAUUACUGACGCUGAUGCACGAAAGCGUGGGUAGCGAACAGGAUUAGAAACACCUGUAGUCC
This 274-nucleotide ribosomal RNA is filed under the name uncultured bacterium. RNAcentral's name for it is "partial 16S ribosomal RNA". It matches the Rfam family "Bacterial small subunit ribosomal RNA", at positions 523 to 796 of the family's 1533-position model. The record is from RNAcentral.